GUGCUCACUUUAGCAGCACAUGUACUAAAAUUGGAAUGAUACAGAGAUUAGCACGGCCCCUGCCCAAGGAUGACAUGCAAAUUUGUGAAGCAUUCCAUAUUUUU
Small nuclear RNA from Otolemur garnettii (small-eared galago), 104 nucleotides. The record is from Ensembl. NCBI's taxonomy places the organism in Eukaryota, Metazoa, Chordata, Mammalia, Primates, Galagidae.